Molecule: ribosomal RNA, 164 nt
Filed under: Koenigia forrestii
Lineage: Eukaryota; Viridiplantae; Streptophyta; Magnoliopsida; Caryophyllales; Polygonaceae
Description: 5.8S ribosomal RNA
Rfam family: 5.8S ribosomal RNA
About the family: 5.8S ribosomal RNA (5.8S rRNA) is a component of the large subunit of the eukaryotic ribosome. It is transcribed by RNA polymerase I as part of the 45S precursor that also contains 18S and 28S rRNA.
Source: RNAcentral
UARACGACUCUCGGCAACGGAUAUCUCGGCUCUCGCAUCGAUGAAGAACGUAGCGAAAUGCGAUACUUGGUGUGAAUUGCAGAAUCCCGUGAACCAUCGAGUCUUUGAACGCAAGUUGCGCCCGAAGCCUUCGGGCCAAGGGCACGUCUGCCUGGGCGUCACGC